AUGGGUGGCACCACACAAAAAUUCUCCUCCAUGAACAUAUAUAAAGCAAUUUGUGGACCCAGCCAAGCACAUAAUAUCUUUCAGAUGGUCUGGAAAACAACAUGCAGACUAAGGCACAAAAUCUUCUUCUGGUUGCUGCUCCAUGACAGAUCAAGCACCAGAAAUAUGAUCAAGCACAGGAACAUGCUCUUAGAAGACUACAACUGUACCCUUUGUACUGAGGCUACAGAAGAAACAAUCAUUCAUCUCUUCUGGGACUGUCAAUUUGCAUGGACUUGCUGGAAUCUGAUUGUUCCUAAUAAAAACAGAGGUACUUCGAUCUAUGAUGAGGUUCUAUUCACUCUAAGCGAAAUGCCAAAGGAUAUUGCUAUGGAAGUGGUGAUUAUGGGAUGCUGGAGCGUCUGGAUGAUAAGGAAUGACAAAAUUUUCAGAAAAGCCCCGCCGCACUAUGGAACAUGGAAGUUUUAUCUCAAAGAAGGUCUUGAAGUUUCUAGACUUCGAGCUAAUCAGAAGAAAGCUGAUUUGAUUAGCAGUUGGAUUGUACAGAAUCUUUAA
This 555-nucleotide ribosomal RNA is filed under the name Triticum aestivum (bread wheat). Its description in RNAcentral is "partial small subunit ribosomal RNA". The record is from RNAcentral. Lineage: Eukaryota; Viridiplantae; Streptophyta; Magnoliopsida; Poales; Poaceae.